Molecule: ribosomal RNA, 240 nt
Filed under: uncultured bacterium
Lineage: Bacteria
Description: partial 16S ribosomal RNA
Rfam family: Bacterial small subunit ribosomal RNA
Source: RNAcentral
AGCGUUAAUCGGAAUUACUGGGCGUAAAGUGUGCGCAGGCGGCCGAGCAAGUCGAGUGUGAAAGCCCCGAGCUUAACUUGGGAACUGCGCUCGAAACUACUUGGCUAGAGUGUGGCAGAGGGAGGUGGAAUUCCACGUGUAGCGGUGAAAUGCGUAGAGAUGUGGAGGAACACCGAUGGCGAAGGCAGCCUCCUGGGCCAACACUGACGCUCAUGCACGAAAGCGUGGGGAGCAAACAGG